CAGGAGUUCGGAACCAGACGGAGGAGACCCUAAACCGACGGGCUAGAGAAAAGGUGAAGCCCCAUCGAACCUUCAAAGGCAGAAGGGGAGGGCAUUCUGCCACCACUCAGCCUCUGCGGUCCGAGAGAAACCCUGGAACCAACCAACCUGCUCCUGGGAGGUCAGCUGUCCUUAGGGAAGCAAGAGCGAAACAAGGGCAUGGUAAAAGGAAAGAGGCUCACCAAAAUCAUCGACUGCAACAUUUAAGACCCACAGCCCAGACGCAACAGCGAGGGGUACUUAAGGUGAAAGCAAGACAUAACAGCAAGAGACCUGCAGAACCCCACCCCUACCGCCAAAAGGCACACCACACAACCCGAAAGAGAUCGACGGGAAAGCCAAAAUGGCCACAACCAAGGGGGAUACCGAAACCACAGAGACCGGCAUGGCCCCAGGAAACAGUCACACAAUACAACCACAACAGGACCCAGAAGACGUUGACCAGAAAGUUAACGAAACCACCAAAGAAAUGGCUAAACUGAUGAAACAAUUAGAAGAGAUGGUGGCCAAGGUCGAUACUCUCAGAGGCAGCAUUACCUCCUUGGAGAGGAAGAACCAGAUACAAGGAAAGCAUUUACAACAAGUACAUAAAGAAAACAGGGAGCUGAAAAGCAAGCUAGCGGACCUUGAGAAACGCUUAACAGUGGUUUCAAACUCUUCCAAUGCAGCCUUGUGUUAGUGUGUUGUUUACAAUAGAAUAAAACUUGCUAACUGUU
Long non-coding RNA from Podarcis raffonei (Aeolian wall lizard), 755 nucleotides. RefSeq lists it as uncharacterized. Lineage: Eukaryota; Metazoa; Chordata; Lepidosauria; Squamata; Lacertidae. The record is from RefSeq and is a predicted model, not a curated record. The transcript has 2 exons.